UAAGCAAGCACCCCUAAUGACAGCGCUUUUUCUGAAAAGCGCUGCCAUAAGUAAGAAUUAAAAAACACGGACAUUGGAUACAGGAAAAGCGUUGUUUAAAGUUGACAUACGAGAGCGAAGCGCUCUCUAAAGGGGCCUUUACCAGCGCUUUUCAAAAAGCGCUCUCGUAGGCCAUUUAAGUUUUUAAAAAAUAAACAGAAAACCCCAGAUCCCUAAUUCAUUUCACGAUUCCUUUCAUGAGACCUCCAAGUCCACCGCGCGCUUCAAUUCUUGUUCAUCUUCUUCUCCGUUCAUCAACUCCAAUCUCCCCAGUCCUGCUCCUCCCAAAUCCUCUUAUCAACCUCAAAUCCCAAAACCUCCUUCUUCGUCUUCUUCUUUUGCUCCACCUCUGUCUCCUCCUUAUACUCGUCCUGAUAACGCUAACUCUGGAUUCAGACCGGCUCCGAAUACUCUAAGGAAAUGCCAGUUUGCUCUCGUGCACAUCAACUGUUCGACGAAAUGCCAUAACUAACUGCGUUUAAUUUAUAUCCCUUCGUUUCAGGAAAAUCUUUUUCGCAUUCGUUAGACUUUCGCCGACUUCACCUACUUGAACCACUGGGUAGUUAAAGACUACUUCCAUCUGGUGGACUCCAUCAAUGCUUUCAAGUCUCGGAUUCAAGCUCUCUCCAAUGAGCUGUUGGCUGCCAAAAUCGAAGAGUUUCGCUUCCGGCUUGGGCGAGGGGAGAUACUUGCUGUUUGGUGGGUUUUUUCUCAGCUUUAUGCUAAGAACCUUGUGUAUAAAGGUUUUAAGAUAGAAAUGGAUGAGGAGUGUUUAAAACAUGCAAUGGAUUUGAGUGGAUUGUUGCUUCUAUACUCUUCAUUAGGAGAUGCUGAAGGAAUAUCAAAACUUUCAAUUCUUGCUAAAGAGCAAGGAAAGAACAAUGUUGGGUAAACUUAAAGACUGCCUUCAAUUGUUGGUAGAAAGGUUAAAUUCUACCGUUGUACUCUUUCAUUAACGGCGUUACUUAAAUGGGUGGUGGGAAGGUGCGAAGGUGGGUUGGUUAAACUGUGAUUACAAAUUUUGAUAGUGUCUAUUUCCUCUUCUAUCAAUAUAUGGUUCACAAUGUCAGCAGAAGCUAUAUCAGCCUUGAUGAAUUUGAACUUUGGUGAUGAAGUGCAUGGUUGAAGAUUCUUAAAAGUUGAGCAAUAAUCUAGCUUAUCAAGAGCUAUAAUAUUGUAGUUAGGGUAUCUUUUGAUUAGCCUGGUGGUUACAUGGGAGGCUAUGAAACCAGCAGCACCAGUUAUGAGAAUGUUCUUUGGUUCAUA
Long non-coding RNA from Vicia villosa (hairy vetch), 1305 nucleotides. RefSeq lists it as uncharacterized. NCBI's taxonomy places the organism in Eukaryota, Viridiplantae, Streptophyta, Magnoliopsida, Fabales, Fabaceae. The transcript has 2 exons. The record is from RefSeq and is a predicted model, not a curated record.